RNAcentral lists this ribosomal RNA (425 nucleotides) under uncultured bacterium. RNAcentral's name for it is "partial 16S ribosomal RNA". It matches the Rfam family "Bacterial small subunit ribosomal RNA", at positions 354 to 796 of the family's 1533-position model. The record is from RNAcentral.
GUGGGGAAUCUUGCGCAAUGGGCGAAAGCCUGACGCAGCCAUGCCGCGUGAAUGAUGAAGGUCUUAGGAUUGUAAAAUUCUUUCACCGGGGAAGAUAAUGACGGUACCCGGAGAAGAAGCCCCGGCUAACUUCGUGCCAGCAGCCGCGGUAAUACGAAGGGGGCUAGCGUUGCUCGGAAUUACUGGGCGUAAAGGGCGCGUAGGCGGACAGCUUAGUCAGAGGUGAAAGCCCAGGGCUCAACCUUGGAAUUGCCUUUGAUACUGGCUGUCUUGAGUUUGGGAGAGGUGAGUGGAACUCCGAGUGUAGAGGUGAAAUUCGUAGAUAUUCGGAAGAACACCAGUGGCGAAGGCGACUCACUGGCCCAAUACUGACGCUGAGGCGCGAAAGCGUGGGGAGCAAACAGGAUUAGAAACCCUGGUAGUCC